Molecule: ribosomal RNA, 253 nt
Filed under: uncultured bacterium
Lineage: Bacteria
Description: partial 16S ribosomal RNA
Rfam family: Bacterial small subunit ribosomal RNA
Source: RNAcentral
UACGGAAGGUGCAAGCGUUGUUCGGAAUGACUGGGCGUAAAGCGCACGUAGGCGGUUUUGUAAGUCGGAUGUGAAAGCCCUGGGCUCAACCCAGGAACAGCAUCCGAAACUGCAAAUCUUGAAUGCUUGAGAGGUUAGUAGAAUUCUUGGUGUAGGAGUGAAAUCCGUAGAGAUCAAGAGGAAUACCGGAGGCGAAGGCGACUAACUGGCGAUGCAUUGACGCUGAGGUGCGAAAGCGUGGGGAGCAAACAGG